RNAcentral lists this ribosomal RNA (461 nucleotides) under Pantoea sp. RNAcentral's name for it is "bacterial SSU rRNA". It matches the Rfam family "Bacterial small subunit ribosomal RNA", at positions 56 to 507 of the family's 1533-position model. The record is from RNAcentral. Lineage: Bacteria; Pseudomonadati; Pseudomonadota; Gammaproteobacteria; Enterobacterales; Erwiniaceae.
UGCAGUCGGACGGUAGCACAGAGGAGCUUGCUCCUUGGGUGACGAGUGGCGGACGGGUGAGUAAUGUCUGGGGAUCUGCCCGAUAGAGGGGGAUAACCACUGGAAACGGUGGCUAAUACCGCAUAACGUCGCAAGACCAAAGAGGGGGACCUUCGGGCCUCUCACUAUCGGAUGAACCCAGAUGGGAUUAUCUAGUAGGCGGGGUAAUGGCCCACCUAGGCCACUAUCCCUAUCUGGUCUGAGAGGAUGACCACCCACACUGGAACUGAGACACGGUCCACACUCCUACGGGAGGCAGCAGUGGGGAAUAUUGCACAAUGGGCGCAAGCCUGAUGCACCCAUGCCGCGUGUAUGAAGAAGGCCUUCGGGUUGUAAAGUACUUUCAGCGGGGAGGAAGGCGACGGGGUUAAUAACCCUGUCUAUUGACGUUACCCGCAGAAGAAGCACCGGCUAACUCCGUG